Long non-coding RNA from Equus caballus (horse), 4765 nucleotides. Lineage: Eukaryota; Metazoa; Chordata; Mammalia; Perissodactyla; Equidae. The record is from Ensembl.
CAAUAAACUUUACAUUUGGAUUAGAGGGAGAGGGAAGAAGAAAUUAAGAAAAUGAGUGCAGGGGGUAACAAAAUGAGGUUAAGGAACAGAAAAGGAAAGAAACGUGGAGGGAAAGGUUACUGCGGGCACAGAGCAGCUUUCCUGAUGGGAAGGGAGAGGGAAUUAGAGGCUGCGGAAGAACUGGGACGCCUCUUCUCCCACUUCCUGGGGCAUGUGAGGGACAUUCCACUUGAAGGAGUCUGCCCACAGUUACAAACAUGUCCUCUGCCCUUGUACAGUUGCUUUGGUCCUCACCCACCACCCUCUCAGUGUCUUUCCUCUCUCUGACUCCCUUCUUGGGGUCUUAUCAGUGUCCCUUCCCCGGGCUUGUUCCUCAUCCGCUGGACCAUUGGUACAGGGUCGCCGGCAGCCGCAGGCUAUAACGCAGAGCGUCUUCUUACAAUAUCCCUUCUAUUUGCUGCCAAGCAGUUUAAAACAGUUUUAUAUUAAAGCAGACUUGCGCAUAUUAUGGUGUAGAAUGUAAAAUUUGUACGAAUGUCAAAUCCAACAGGAGACUUGAUAUAAAUGUUGCGCUUCUAGCAGCUUCAGGCUUAGUCCUCACAGAUCCUCAGGAUUCUUGGUUCACCCUGCUUUGCUGUUAGAGGUGUUUUCCUGAAGCGCUUGAGAACAUUUGGCCAAAUUUGUUUCUCUUCUCAGGAGCAUCUGUACCGAGAAUAGUAAAAAGCAUUCAAGAAGCAAAGAAACGGCACUUUAAUGAUAGACACGAAGGCGGUUUGACGGGAGGUGGAAGAGAGCUUUUGGUGGCUGUGUGAAUCAUCUCCAACUCUAAUUUCAUAUGUUCUGCCAACUGACAGGGCCAGCUCUGCUAUAAAUCUCUACGUGGGCCAGACUUCUAGGAAGCAUUGAAUAAUCAAGACACAGGAAGAGCAGAGGUGCAGCUGGGUUAUGAGUACUUCGAGCCAGGGACCAGAAGGUUGGCAGGAUGCUUCUCAAUCUCCCGGGCCUCUCUGGAUGUUGGCUUCCUUCUCUCUCAUUUCAGUCUAGCUAUUUCUACUUGGGGGAAGACUUGCUUGCCAGAAGCACCUGAGUUUUACAGUUAAAUGUGGAGCCACUGGAGAGAGAUUAGUUCAACUCGUACCUCAUUCCAAGGCCACAAGCCACAAAGAAGGACUGUGGCUCAGCUUGUCUGGUGCUCACCAGCAGAUGAAUUAACAACCCCCAGGGAGCUGGGCCCUAAUGUAUGCAUAUGGUGGCUCCUGCGGCAAAAAUGCUGGUGAGCAGGAGUUAGGAGAGUAGGGUGGGGAGGGAAUCAAUUCUCAGAAAAUGUGUGCUACGCAGAGAAUCUUGUAGGUGUGUACUGUGUAUUAGGCACUCGUGGCCUGUCAGCAGGAGCCCCAAGCCCACUGUAGCUGAAUUUAUGCUCCAGAACAUCAGGAGAAGCAUCACAUAUAGGUAAAAACUCCACAGGUCAUUACUUUCAAGAAGGCCAAAUCUUGCCUAUCUCACACCAAAAGAAAUCUAAGCUAUGUUCUAUUCAGGCCUGGGGUAAAUAUGGCAGAGCUUUGUUUGUGAGUUCCUAUUUUAAGAGGAAAACUGGUCAGAAAAGAACUAUGAGGAAAUAACUCAUGACCUGGAGAAAGAGAGGACAUCGCUGCGCUGGACUAUUUCCUUAUACGACAACUGACAGCGAGAUAAAGAGGACGGUUUGGGUUGGACUUUAAACUCCAACCACCUAAACGGGUACUGUCCCAGGAAGGUCUGCAGAUAUGGAUCCCCUCUCCCAGGAGGGAGGCGGAGCCAAAAAGGGUGUGGGAAGGAAAAGCAGCAAUUCUAGGAAUUCAGAAGAGGGAUUGCUGGAGUGGGAAUGGCCGGUUGCCAGGCAGGUGUCGGAGGUACACAGCUAUAAACGAGCAUGCAAUUGUAGACCCAGCCAUCUGUUCUCUAGGAACUUAGUGACUUGUUUGAAUUUUCUGUAAUUUCCUUUUACUUCUCUUAGUAUUGUUCUUGAGAGCAUGCGCAAAUUUCAGCUGUGCUAAGGGGAGCUUCCACCCUCCCCCACAAACCCUCUAUCUUUCUGUGCUCAUAUGUUAUGGGAGGAACCUAACAUCCAUGGAGCUGGUUUCAGUGAUGGCUCCAGAAUAAAAGUGAGAAAAUUCCAAGGGUUAAGAAAGACUCCUCCUUUUGUGGUUUGUAAUGGUGUUUGUAUAGCCAGCUCUGGUGGUCUAAUGGUUAAGAUUUGGUGCUGUCACUGCCAGUGGCCAAGGUUCAUUUCCCAGUCAGGGACUCACACUAUCCCUCGGUUGGUUGUCAUACUGUGGUGGCUGCAUGUUGCUGUGAUGCUGAAAGCUAUGCCAUAGCUAUUUCAAAUACCAGUGGGGUCAUCCAUGGUGGACAGGUCUCGGCAGAGCUUCUAGACUAAGACAGACUAGGAAGAAGGACCUGGUGACCCAAUUCUGAAAAAAUUGGCCCUGAAAACCCUAUGAACAGCAGCGGAGCCUUGUCUGAUACAGCCCUGGAAGAUGAGAGGAUAUCACAAAAAAACCAGGCAGGGUUCUGCUCUGUUGUCCACAGGGUCGCUAGGAGUUGGAAUUGAUUCCAUGACACUAACAACAACAAAAAUGGCGGUAGUGGGAGGAUGCUAUACUGGAAGCUGUGCUAGUUCAUUUUAUUUGUUAAUUUGGCUGGCCAUGGUGCCCAGAUAGUUGGUCAAACAUUAUCUUGGAUGUUUUUUGUGACGUGUUUUUUUGGAUGAGAUUAAUGCUGAAAUUAGUGGACUUGGAGUAAAGCAGAUUGUCCUCUAUAAUGUGGGUGGGCCUCAUGCAGUCAGUUGAAGACUUGAAUAAAAGAAAGGCUGACCUCAUCUGAGCAAGAAGGAACUCUACCAGCAGAUUGCUUCAGGGCUCUUUCCUGGGUCUUGCCUACCCUACAGAUUUUGGAUUUACCAAGCCUCCACAAUUCCUUGAGCCAAUUCCUUCAGACAAAUCUCUUUCUCCCUCUAUCUCUAUACAUACACACAGGUCCUGCUGGAUCUGUUUCUGCGGAGAACCUUGACUAACACAGAAGCUAUUCCUACAACCAAACUACACGGAGAUUGCCCAGUCAGAGCUCUCCUUAAAUCAUGGGGGCUGGUGCUGUACAGAGCCCUAUCCUUGAAGAGUAUGACAAGAGAGAAGAAACUGACUUCCCAAGCAUCUGUGACUAUUGUUUAUUGAGGGCCUCUUUCUGCUGCGUCUUAAAAUCCAGCAAGGUAGACUUCGGAUGUGGGAUGGGAGUGAAAGGCGGUUCAGAUGAACACAACAACUUGUCCUGGGAGCAGGUAGGGAUGUGAGGAGGGAGUGGGUGAAUUUGCUAGGCACCCAGGAAAUAGGAAGGGAAUUAUAGAAAUAGUGUAAUUGAGAACGUUAGUAGGGCCUUAAUUGCCAGGCUAAAGAGCUAGGCCUUUUCUGUAUAGGCAAACAGAAGCCCAUGGAGAUUUUUGAACGAGGGAGUGAAAUAUUUGGAGGAGGGAAGCUGGCAAUGAAGCGCUGAGUGACUUAGAAGGAAAAGACUGGGAAUAAGGAAGCGUUUUGGAAAGUUCUUGCAAUUAUCUCCACAUUAAUUCCUUUAUUCUUUUAUUCACUGGACAUUUAUGGAGCCCCGGUUAGUGCUAGGCAUUGUACAAUUUAAGGAGAAAUAAAGUGCCUCUGAAGAGUCCACUGUUCUGGAGGGGAGAUUUGCACGGAGGAGGAAAUGUAAGCAAAUGCUUGUGGAAGUAUUUCCCAGUCUUUAGUAUGUAGGCUUGAGGCCUGGCCCACAGCAGAUUUUAAGACAGAACUGAGAGUUCAAAUUUUUUCAAGGUGCCUGAUAAAGUAUUCAAAGGGCUCUUACCUGUUCAUACACCAUCUCAUAAUGACAGAAGACAAAGAUCCAAAGUGAAGGGGGAAAAAUAACCCCAGUAAUUACAGAACUGAAGUGUAUAUAUGUAUGUGCAUACAUAUAAAACCUGUUAGCUCCUGAGUGGGGGAGAGUUUGCUCUCUAGGCCGUCUCCGGAUUAGGCCCAGAGCCUGAGAGAAUGCCCUCUCACCUGGUACACUCGGUACUGAUGACUCAGGGGAUGGGCUCCGUGAGCAUAAGCGAUUGGACUUGGACCUGGAGCCAGAACACAGUAUUUUCUUAUCUUUAAUCUUCAUAAAGCGUAUGUUUAUUCUUCCCUGACAAAAGCCAAGCCUAAGGCGCACGGUCUGUUUUAUGAAGGCAUUAGUCCUCUUUGGACAGCUGUGUGUCCUGUCCACGCCCCCGUGAGAAGGAGGAGGCAGGCCGAGGAGGAGUCCGCGCCCUCUGGGAGCCGGCCUGGAACACGUUUCUGUGGCCUACUGCUGCCAGCAGCUACACCCUGGGUGCCAUGGUUCAGUGAGGGGCUGGGAGGGGUUUCCAUUUCAGUCAGUCAUUCACCCGGAAAUGCUCAGCACUAUCUCACGAACCUGGUUUCUGAGAAGUCAGGCCACCUAUUGUAGUUAGCAAGUUGGUAAAUGAUAUAUUCUAAGCGCUCAUAAAAGUUAACCCAGCGCUUGCUACAAAGCUGAUAGCAUGCAAUGAAAGAGUGAGCAGAGGCCUCCUUUGUGUUUGAGUCCAGGGUGGGCCGAGCUGUGUGUGGGCCCAGAAAAUGCUGGAGGGAGGGGCUUCUUCUGCGGCUUUUCCUUGUUGCAACUGGCCACGCUCAACUCCUCUGCGAAGGACCUUCAGCCUCCUGCCAUGGACACAGAGAACUUAAUAGAUGUCAUGGAG